This 71-nucleotide transfer RNA is filed under the name Waoraniella jarlinsoni. RNAcentral's name for it is "tRNA-Ser". Lineage: Eukaryota; Metazoa; Arthropoda; Insecta; Psocodea; Lachesillidae. The record is from RNAcentral.
AAUUGAUUAGUCUAAAAUAAAAGACAUUUGUUUUGAAACCAAAUAAUGAUUAAUAAUAUUAUCAUCAAUUU